This 901-nucleotide long non-coding RNA is filed under the name Gossypium barbadense (sea-island cotton). RNAcentral describes it as "long non-coding RNA (GBAR_LNC008533)". The record is from RNAcentral. Lineage: Eukaryota; Viridiplantae; Streptophyta; Magnoliopsida; Malvales; Malvaceae.
UUUAUUUUUUAUUUCCCUUUUUUCUUGUUCUUUCCUCUACGUUUUUUUUUCGAUCUUUUCCUCGUCUUUCCUUCUUCUCGUCUCGCCCCUCCAAACCAUCGCCACGCCAUUUGACCCCCACUGGUCGAAAGCCCCUAAAGUGACGCUCCUUGUCCCUUCACUCAUGUUUCUCGGUUUAGAUUUCCUCAAACCCAAACCAAAACCUUUGAAAAAUCAAAAAAAAAAAAAAGAAAUAAAAAUAAACUUGAUCCACCGUCGUCUGUCCCCAUAUCAGUCUCGUUUUCCAGUAUGAAGUUCUUCACCAUCCAAUGAAGCUUUUCACCGUUGGGAUCGUCAAAAUGGACAUCUCAAACCCCUUGGACCGGUCAAAUCCAAACGGGUUGUGUUCUCACCUUUACUUUUUUUGUUUUUAUUUAGUAUAUAACUCUUCAUUUUGUUCUUGAUGUUUCAGCCACAACCCUCUGCUUCUUGUUUGUCAUUCUUCAUUCUUUUCCCCUUAUCUUUUGCUUUGAGUUUGUCCUCCAUUGCCUUAAUAAAUCCGACUUCUUGAUUUAUAUUGUUAGGGCUUGAUUUCGUGCUGUGAAACUAUGCCAUUGUGGAAGGUCACGAAGUUCAAGAUGAAGAUUUGAAGAACUAGCCAUGGCCUUUUCAAGUUCAUUUUCAGAUAUUAUUGUAUUUGUGUUGAAAAUUGUUAUAUUUGCCGUUCUUCAUUAAUCUGUAACAAAUUUAUCUUAAAAAAAAACUAGUUUCUAUUAGUUUGAUUAUUCAUUUAUUUGUUGAUUCAUUUGUAAUAUUUUAUUGGGAUUUAAGAUUUUAGUUGCAAUAAUUAAUGAAAAAGAACUAAUUAGUUUGUAUAAUGUUAAAAAAAUAAUUAACAGAAAAGAAGAAAAUAAAUUAUGGA